This 515-nucleotide RNase P RNA is filed under the name Planctomycetota bacterium. RNAcentral's name for it is "RNase P RNA component class A". It matches the Rfam family "Bacterial RNase P class A". Rfam says of the family: Ribonuclease P (RNase P) is a ubiquitous endoribonuclease, found in archaea, bacteria and eukarya as well as chloroplasts and mitochondria. Lineage: Bacteria; Pseudomonadati; Planctomycetota. The record is from RNAcentral.
CGGGCGGAGGCGAUCGCCGGCAAACGAUAAGGUUUGCGGGAGGAAAGUCCGGACUGGGCAGGGCACGGUGGUUGGUAACGCCAACCCGGCGCAAGCCGAGGGAAAGUGCCACAGAAACGACACCGCCGGGAAAACGUCAAAACGCCCAAAAAGUCGAAACGGCGAAAGACCGUGUUUUGGCUUUUCGACGUUUCGAUGUUUCGACGUUUUCAUCGGUAAGGGUGAAAUGGUGCGGUAAGAGCGCACCGCGCGGCCGGUGACGGUCGCGGCAGGGUAAACCCCACCGCCAGCAAGCCCAAAUAGGCAGCGAGAGGCGGCCCGUCUCGGAGAAUGCAGAAUGGCGAAUUCAGAAUAGCGGAUUCUUCAUUCGCUAUUCGCCAUUCUAAAUUCUGCAUUCUGAAGCUGUGGGUAGGGCGCUCGAGCCGGCGGGCAACCGUCGGCCCAGAUGAAUGAUCGCCGCCCGCUCGGCCAACGCCAAGCGGGAACAGAAUUCGGCUUACAGACCCGCCGGUCCG